This 275-nucleotide ribosomal RNA is filed under the name Staphylococcus sp. HMSC063F10. RNAcentral's name for it is "partial 16S ribosomal RNA". It matches the Rfam family "Bacterial small subunit ribosomal RNA", at positions 97 to 366 of the family's 1533-position model. Lineage: Bacteria; Bacillati; Bacillota; Bacilli; Caryophanales; Staphylococcaceae. The record is from RNAcentral.
GGCGGACGGGUGAGUAACACGUGGGUAACCUACCUAUAAGACUGGGACAACUUCGGGAAACCGGAGCUAAUACCGGAUAAUAUGUUGAACCGCAUGGUUCAAUAGUGAAAGAUGGUUUUGCUAUCACUUAUAGAUGGACCCGCGCCGUAUUAGCUAGUUGGUGAGGUAACGGCUCACCAAGGCAACGAUACGUAGCCGACCUGAGAGGGUGAUCGGCCACACUGGAACUGAGACACGGUCCAGACUCCUACGGGAGGCAGCAGUAGGGAAUCUUC